RNAcentral lists this ribosomal RNA (492 nucleotides) under Lodderomyces parapsilosis. RNAcentral's name for it is "eukaryotic LSU rRNA". The stretch from base 137 to 290 matches the Rfam family "5.8S ribosomal RNA". The record is from RNAcentral. Lineage: Eukaryota; Fungi; Ascomycota; Pichiomycetes; Serinales; Debaryomycetaceae.
GCUUACUGCAUUUUUUCUUACACAUGUGUUUUUCUUUUUUUGAAAACUUUGCUUUGGUAGGCCUUCUAUAUGGGGCCUGCCAGAGAUUAAACUCAACCAAAUUUUAUUUAAUGUCAACCGAUUAUUUAAUAGUCAAAACUUUCAACAACGGAUCUCUUGGUUCUCGCAUCGAUGAAGAACGCAGCGAAAUGCGAUAAGUAAUAUGAAUUGCAGAUAUUCGUGAAUCAUCGAAUCUUUGAACGCACAUUGCGCCCUUUGGUAUUCCAAAGGGCAUGCCUGUUUGAGCGUCAUUUCUCCCUCAAACCCUCGGGUUUGGUGUUGAGCGAUACGCUGGGUUUGCUUGAAAGAAAGGCGGAGUAUAAACUAAUGGAUAGGUUUUUUCCACUCAUUGGUACAAACUCCAAAACUUCUUCCAAAUUCGACCUCAAAUCAGGUAGGACUACCCGCUGAACUUAAGCAUAUCAAUAAGCGGAGGGAAAAGAAACCCGUGUC